ACGAACGCUGGCGGCGUGCUUAACCCAUGCAAGUCGAACGGAAAGGCCCUGCUUGCAGGGUACUCGAGUGGCGAACGGGUGAGUAACACGUGGGUGAUCUGCCCUGCACUUCGGGAUAAGCCUGGGAAACUGGGUCUAAUACCGGAUAGGAGCCAUUUUUAGUGUGAUGGUUGGAAAGUUUUUUCGGUGUAGGAUGAGCUCGCGGCCUAUCAGCUUGUUGGUGGGGUAAUGGCCUACCAAGGCGGCGACGGGUGGCCGGCCUGAGAGGGUGGACGGCCACAUUGGGACUGAGAUACGGCCCAGACUCCUACGGGAGGCAGCAGUGGGGAAUAUUGCACAAUGGGCGCAAGCCUGAUGCAGCGACGCCGCGUGGGGGAUGACGGCCUUCGGGUUGUAAACUCCUUUCGCUAGGGACGAAGCUUUUUGUGACGGUACCUAGAUAAGAAGCACCGGCUAACUACGUG
This 464-nucleotide ribosomal RNA is filed under the name uncultured bacterium. Its description in RNAcentral is "partial 16S ribosomal RNA". It matches the Rfam family "Bacterial small subunit ribosomal RNA", at positions 29 to 507 of the family's 1533-position model. The record is from RNAcentral.